GGUAAAGUCCGGCAGCGCCACCGCAAGAAAAAUAAAAAAUCGUCUCCGAUGGGCUCCUUCCCGAUUCCUGUUUCGUGCGAUUUUUUCACAAUUAUGUUCACCAUUCUGUUUUCUAAGGUUAAUCGAAGAAAAAGACUCAACCGCGAAGGUGAGCCGACAGAGCCGCUGCACCAGAAAAUUUCACCACCAGUAAGUUUUUAUUUUUCGACU
Molecule: long non-coding RNA, 210 nt
Filed under: Carica papaya (papaya)
Lineage: Eukaryota; Viridiplantae; Streptophyta; Magnoliopsida; Brassicales; Caricaceae
Description: long non-coding RNA (CPAP_LNC014706)
Source: RNAcentral